UUGAAAUAGGAUUAGGGUUCAAAUGCUCGCAUGAUUUCUUGAAUUUAAUCGUACCAUAACUUUCUCUAAUUACGUAUUUUCACGAGAAAACAUGUAACUGAAGGCUAUUAUAGCCCAAAAAUCAAUCAACCCCUAAUUAGGGUUCUGGCCGAAAUUUGAUUUGAAAUUCGAGGCUAUGGAAGAACGUUUGAAGGGAAAGCAAGACAGAUAUGGGAUGGGUAAUGCCUGGUGGUUAAGGGGUAUCGAUAGGGUUUUGGGUCAUACUUUAGAUCUAAUAUUCGAGAAGAUUGGUGAUGAAUUGAAGAAGAUGGUUUUUGGAGUUGGAAAGAGGAGGAAAAGGAGAGCUUUUGGUGGAAUUUUGGGGUCAUUUAAAGCUUCUCCGCCGGCAAAGGUGAUUUCCGGCCGGCGGAGGACGUUGUAAGGUAGUGGGAUACGUCGGGGGUGAUGGAUGUACGAGG
Molecule: long non-coding RNA, 458 nt
Filed under: Nicotiana benthamiana
Lineage: Eukaryota; Viridiplantae; Streptophyta; Magnoliopsida; Solanales; Solanaceae
Description: long non-coding RNA (NBEN_LNC006362)
Source: RNAcentral